AUGCAAGAGAAAUAUGUUUCCAUGUGGAAUUUGAUAGCAUUUAUGAAGUCAAGGGUGUUGCUCAAUGGUUGUGAUGAUCAUGAUGAUCUUGGAAGCUUUAAAAGGCUGUUCGAACUUGUUCAAACCAUAUCCGGGUCACCAUUUUUUCCAACUAACCGGUCCAAUCAAACGGAUUUCACCGGUUUAGAAACAAUUUUCGAUCUCCCAACACUGCUACCAGGUUAA
This is a non-coding RNA of Vicia faba (fava bean), 225 nucleotides long. The record is from the annotation of a GenBank genome assembly. Lineage: Eukaryota; Viridiplantae; Streptophyta; Magnoliopsida; Fabales; Fabaceae.